Molecule: ribosomal RNA, 702 nt
Filed under: uncultured Sphingomonadaceae bacterium
Lineage: Bacteria; Pseudomonadati; Pseudomonadota; Alphaproteobacteria; Sphingomonadales; Sphingomonadaceae
Description: bacterial SSU rRNA
Rfam family: Bacterial small subunit ribosomal RNA
Source: RNAcentral
AACGAACGCUGGCGGCAUGCCUAACACAUGCAAGUCGAACGAGACCUUCGGGUCUAGUGGCGCACGGGUGCGUAACGCGUGGGAAUCUGCCCUUGGGUUCGGAAUAACCAGGAGAAAUCCUGGCUAAUACCGGAUGAUGACUUCGGUCCAAAGAUUUAUCGCCCAAGGAUGAGCCCGCGUAGGAUUAGCUAGUUGGUGAGGUAAAGGCUCACCAAGGCGACGAUCCUUAGCUGGUCUGAGAGGAUGAUCAGCCACACUGGGACUGAGACACGGCCCAGACUCCUACGGGAGGCAGCAGUGGGGAAUAUUGGACAAUGGGCGAAAGCCUGAUCCAGCAAUGCCGCGUGAGUGAUGAAGGCCCUAGGGUUGUAAAGCUCUUUUACCCGGGAUGAUAAUGACAGUACCGGGAGAAUAAGCCCCGGCUAACUCCGUGCCAGCAGCCGCGGUAAUACGGAGGGGGCUAGCGUUGUUCGGAAUUACUGGGCGUAAAGCGCACGUAGGCGGCUUUGUAAGUUAGAGGUGAAAGCCCGGGGCUCAACCCCGGAAUUGCCUUUAAGACUGCAUCGCUUGAAUCCAGGAGAGGUGAGUGGAAUUCCGAGUGUAGAGGUGAAAUUCGUAGAUAUUCGGAAGAACACCAGUGGCGAAGGCGGCUCACUGGACUGGUAUUGACGCUGAGGUGCGAAAGCGUGGGGAGCAAACAGG